GCUUCAGUGGUCGAGUGGUAGAAGCUCUGCUUCUGCACGCAGAGGCCCCGGGUUCGAUCCCCGAUUGGAGUA
Molecule: transfer RNA, 72 nt
Filed under: Plutella xylostella (diamondback moth)
Lineage: Eukaryota; Metazoa; Arthropoda; Insecta; Lepidoptera; Plutellidae
Description: tRNA-Arg
Source: RNAcentral